Molecule: ribosomal RNA, 495 nt
Filed under: uncultured bacterium
Lineage: Bacteria
Description: partial 16S ribosomal RNA
Rfam family: Bacterial small subunit ribosomal RNA
Source: RNAcentral
GACGAACGCUGGCGGCGUGCCUAAUACAUGCAAGUAGAACGCUGAAGGAGGAGCUUGCUUCUCUGGAUGAGUUGCGAACGGGUGAGUAACGCGUAGGUAACCUGCCUGGUAGCGGGGGAUAACUAUUGGAAACGAUAGCUAAUACCGCAUAAUAGUAGAUGUCGCAUGACAUUUGCUUAAAAGGUGCAAUUGCAUCACUACCAGAUGGACCUGCGUUGUAUUAGCUAGUUGGUGAGGUAACGGCUCACCAAGGCAACGAUACAUAGCCGACCUGAGAGGGUGAUCGGCCACACUGGGACUGAGACACGGCCCAGACUCCUACGGGAGGCAGCAGUAGGGAAUCUUCGGCAAUGGACGGAAGUCUGACCGAGCAACGCCGCGGGAGUGAAGAAGGUUGUCGGAUCGUAAAGCUCUGUUGUAAGAGAAGAACGAGUGUGAGAGUGGAAAGUUCACACUGUGACGGUAUCUUACCAGAAAGGGACGGCUAACUACGUG